AGCGAACGCUGGCGGCAGGCCUAACACAUGCAAGUCGAACGAACCUUUCGGGGUUAGUGGCGGACGGGUGAGUAAGACGUGGGAACGUGCCCUUAGGUUCGGUAUAACUCAGGGAGACUUGUGCUAAUACCGAAUGUGCCAAUAGGGGGAAUGAUCAGUUGCCUUUAGAGCGGCCUGCGUAAGAUUAGCUAGUUGGUUGGGGUAAUGGCACACCAAGGCGACGAUCAGUAGCUGGUGUGUGAGGAGGAUUUGCCACGUUGGGGCUGAGACACGGCCCAAACUCCUACGGGAGGCAGCAGUGGAGAAUCUUGCGCAAGGGGCGAAGGCCUGACGCAGCCGUGCCGCGGAAAUGAUGCAGGUCGUAGGAUUGUAAAAUUCUUUCACCGGGGGCGAGAAUGACGGUACCCGGAGAAGAAGCCCCGGCUAACUACGUG
This 434-nucleotide ribosomal RNA is filed under the name uncultured bacterium. RNAcentral describes it as "partial 16S ribosomal RNA". It matches the Rfam family "Bacterial small subunit ribosomal RNA", at positions 29 to 507 of the family's 1533-position model. The record is from RNAcentral.